Molecule: ribosomal RNA, 436 nt
Filed under: uncultured bacterium
Lineage: Bacteria
Description: bacterial SSU rRNA
Rfam family: Bacterial small subunit ribosomal RNA
Source: RNAcentral
CAGGCCUAACACAUGCAAGUCGAACGAAGGCUUCGGCCUUAGUGGCGCACGGGUGCGUAACGCGUGGGAAUCUGCCCUUUGGUACGGAAUAACUCAGGGAAACUUGAGCUAAUACCGUAUGAUGUCGAGAGACCAAAGAUUUAUCGCCAGGGGAUGAGCCCGCGUCCGAUUAGCUUGUUGGUGGGGUAAUGGCCUACCAAGGCGACGAUCGGUAGCUGGUCUGAGAGGAUGAUCAGCCACACUGGGACUGAGACACGGCCCAGACUCCUACGGGAGGCAGCAGUGGGGAAUAUUGGACAAUGGGCGAAAGCCUGAUCCAGCAAUGCCGCGUGAGUGAUGAAGGCCUUAGGGUUGUAAAGCUCUUUUACCCCGGGAAGAUAAUGACUGUACCGGGAGAAUAAGCCCCGGCUAACUCCGUGCCAGCAGCCGCGGUAAU